This 547-nucleotide ribosomal RNA is filed under the name uncultured Glomeromycotina. RNAcentral's name for it is "SSU rRNA". It matches the Rfam family "Eukaryotic small subunit ribosomal RNA", at positions 548 to 1098 of the family's 1831-position model. The record is from RNAcentral. Lineage: Eukaryota; Fungi; Glomeromycota.
UUGGAGGGCAAGUCUGGUGCCAGCAGCCGCGGUAAUUCCAGCUCCAAUAGCGUAUGUUAAAGUUGUUGCAGUUAAAAAGCUCGUAGUUGAAUUUCGGGAUCAAAGAAUCGGUCAUGCCUUGGUAUGUACUGGUUUUAUUGGUUCUCACCUUCUAAAGAACCAUGAUGUCAUUAAUUUGGUGUUAUGGGAAAUCAGGUCUGUUACUUUGAAAAAAUUAGAGUGUUUAAAGCAGGCAUUAGCUUGAAUACAUAGCAUGGAGUAAUGAAAUAGGACGUUCGAACCUAUUUUGUUGGUUUUUAGGAUCAACGUAAUGAUUAAUAGGGAUAGUUGGGGGCAUUAGUAUUCAAUUGUCAGAGGUGAAAUUCUUGGAUUUAUUGAAGACUAACUACUGCGAAAGCAUUUGCCAAGGAUGUUUUCAUUAAUCAAGAACGAAAGUUAGGGGAUCGAAGACGAUCAGAUACCGUCGUAGUCUUAACCAUAAACUAUGCCGACUAGGGAUCGGAUGAUGUUGAUUUUAUAAUGACUCAUUCGGCGCCUUACGGGAAAC